Molecule: transfer RNA, 63 nt
Filed under: Artemia sorgeloosi
Lineage: Eukaryota; Metazoa; Arthropoda; Branchiopoda; Anostraca; Artemiidae
Description: tRNA-Pro
Source: RNAcentral
UCAAAAGGUAGUUUAAUAAAAAUAUUAACUUUGGAAGUUAAAGAUGUUCAUUACUCUUUUGAA